RNAcentral lists this ribosomal RNA (253 nucleotides) under uncultured bacterium. RNAcentral's name for it is "partial 16S ribosomal RNA". It matches the Rfam family "Bacterial small subunit ribosomal RNA", at positions 524 to 776 of the family's 1533-position model. The record is from RNAcentral.
UACGUAGGGUGCAAGCGUUGUCCGGAAUUAUUGGGCGUAAAGAGCUCGUAGGCGGUCUGUCGCGUCGGAUGUGAAAUCUCGGGGCUCAACCCCGAGCCUGCAUUCGAUACGGGCAGACUAGAGUUCGGUAGGGGAGACUGGAAUUCCUGGUGUAGCGGUGAAAUGCGCAGAUAUCAGGAGGAACACCGGUGGCGAAGGCGGGUCUCUGGGCCGAAACUGACGCUGAGGAGCGAAAGCGUGGGGAGCAAACAGG